UACGGAGGAUUCAAGCGUUAUCCGGAUUUAUUGGGUUUAAAGGGUGCGUAGGCGGUUUGAUAAGUUAGAGGUGAAAUACCGGUGCUUAACACCGGAACUGCCUCUAAUACUGUUGAGCUAGAGAGUAGUUGCGGUAGGCGGAAUGUAUGGUGUAGCGGUGAAAUGCGUAGAUAUUAGGAGGAACACCAGUGGCGAAGGCGGUCUGCUGGACAGCAACUGACGCUGAGGCGCGAAAGCGUGGGGAGCAAACAGG
RNAcentral lists this ribosomal RNA (253 nucleotides) under uncultured Bacteroides sp. Its description in RNAcentral is "partial 16S ribosomal RNA". It matches the Rfam family "Bacterial small subunit ribosomal RNA", at positions 524 to 776 of the family's 1533-position model. Lineage: Bacteria; Pseudomonadati; Bacteroidota; Bacteroidia; Bacteroidales; Bacteroidaceae. The record is from RNAcentral.